RNAcentral lists this ribosomal RNA (465 nucleotides) under Salmonella enterica subsp. enterica serovar Kentucky. Its description in RNAcentral is "bacterial LSU rRNA". It matches the Rfam family "Bacterial large subunit ribosomal RNA", at positions 1916 to 2380 of the family's 2925-position model. The record is from RNAcentral. Lineage: Bacteria; Pseudomonadati; Pseudomonadota; Gammaproteobacteria; Enterobacterales; Enterobacteriaceae.
AGCCCCAGUAAACGGCGGCCGUAACUAUAACGGUCCUAAGGUAGCGAAAUUCCUUGUCGGGUAAGUUCCGACCCGCAUGAAAGGCGUAACGAUUUGGGCACUGUCUCAACGAGAGACUCGGUGAAAUCAUAGUACCUGUGAAGAUGCAGGUUACCCGCGACAGGACGGAAAGACCCCGUGGAGCUUUACUGUAGCCUGAUAUUGAAAUUCGGCACAGCUUGUACAGGAUAGGUAGGAGCCUUUGAAACGUGAGCGCUAGCUUACGUGGAGGCGCUGGUGGGAUACUACCCUAGCUGUGUUGGCUUUCUAACCCGCACCACUUAUCGUGGUGGGAGACAGUGUCAGGCGGGCAGUUUGACUGGGGCGGUCGCCUCCUAAGAGGUAACGGCGGCGCUCAAAGGUUCCCUCAGAAUGGUUGGAUAUCAUUCAUAGAGUGCAAAGGCAUAAGGGAGCUUGACUGCGCGA